Molecule: ribosomal RNA, 465 nt
Filed under: uncultured bacterium
Lineage: Bacteria
Description: partial 16S ribosomal RNA
Rfam family: Bacterial small subunit ribosomal RNA
Source: RNAcentral
GACGAACGCUGGCGGCGUGCUUAACACAUGCAAGUCGAACGGAAAGGCCCCCUUGUGGGGUACUCGAGUGGCGAACGGGUGAGUAACACGUGAGUAACCUACCCUUGACUUUGGGAUAACUUCAGGAAACUGGGGCUAAUACCGGAUAGGAGCUCCUGCUGCAUGGUGGGAGUUGGAAAGUUUCGGCGGUUGGGGAUGGACUCGCGGCUUAUCAGCUUGUUGGUGGGGUAGUGGCUCACCAAGGCUUUGACGGGUAGCCGGCCUGAGAGGGUGACCGGCCACAUUGGGACUGAGAUACGGCCCAGACUCCUACGGGAGGCAGCAGUGGGGAAUAUUGCACAAUGGGCGGAAGCCUGAUGCAGCAACGCCGCGUGCGGGAUGACGGCCUUCGGGUUGUAAACCGCUUUCGCCUGUGACGAAGCGUGAGUGACGGUAAUGGGUAAAGAAGCACCGGCUAACUACGUG